RNAcentral lists this ribosomal RNA (253 nucleotides) under uncultured bacterium. RNAcentral describes it as "partial 16S ribosomal RNA". It matches the Rfam family "Bacterial small subunit ribosomal RNA", at positions 524 to 776 of the family's 1533-position model. The record is from RNAcentral.
UACGGAGGAUGCAAGCGUUAUCCGGAAUUAUUGGGCGUAAAGCGUCCGCAGGUGGCUAUUCAAGUCUGCUGUCAAAGCACGGGGCUUAACCCCGUAAAGGCAGUGGAAACUGAAAAGCUAGAGUGCAGUAGGGGUAAAGGGAAUUCCCGGUGUAGCGGUGAAAUGCGUAGAGAUCGGGAAGAACAUCGGUGGCGAAAGCGCUUUACUGGACUGCAACUGACACUCAGGGACGAAAGCUAGGGGAGCGAAUGGG